UGAGUAACCUGCCCUUAACUCUGGGAUAAGCCUGGGAAACUGGGUCUAAUACCGGAUAUGACUCCUCAUCGCAUGGUGGGGGGUGGAAAGCUUUUUUGUGGUUUUGGAUGGACUCGCGGCCUAUCAGCUUGUUGGUGAGGUAAUGGCUCACCAAGGCGACGACGGGUAGCCGGCCUGAGAGGGUGACCGGCCACACUGGGACUGAGACACAGCCCAGACUCCUACGGGGAGGCAG
RNAcentral lists this ribosomal RNA (235 nucleotides) under uncultured bacterium. RNAcentral describes it as "partial 16S ribosomal RNA". It matches the Rfam family "Bacterial small subunit ribosomal RNA", at positions 118 to 351 of the family's 1533-position model. The record is from RNAcentral.